AGAUAUGUGAUGAACAGGUAUAAAGAACUAUUUAGUUGCUUACAGAGAGUUGCCGGUCGGUGCGAGGCAAUAGAACGGAUAGUAUCGAAACUCGCCUCGGAGCAUUGCGGCUGAACUGAAGUAAGCCGUGACGGUAGUUCCGUUAUAACUGCAAGAGAACCAACUAGGGUGGUACCGUGUUAUAGUUUAUGAUGCCCCUGGA
Molecule: non-coding RNA, 202 nt
Filed under: Veillonella sp.
Lineage: Bacteria; Bacillati; Bacillota; Negativicutes; Veillonellales; Veillonellaceae
Description: T-box sequence
Rfam family: T-box leader
About the family: Uncharged tRNA acts as the effector for transcription antitermination of genes in the T-box leader family. T-boxes are found upstream of many aminoacyl-tRNA synthetase genes and some amino acid biosynthetic genes usually in Gram-positive bacteria. The anticodon of a specific tRNA base pairs to a specifier sequence within the T-box motif, and the NCCA acceptor tail of the tRNA base pairs to a conserved bulge in the T-box antiterminator hairpin.
Source: RNAcentral